Small nuclear RNA from Molossus molossus (Pallas's mastiff bat), 115 nucleotides. RefSeq annotates it as U5 spliceosomal RNA. NCBI's taxonomy places the organism in Eukaryota, Metazoa, Chordata, Mammalia, Chiroptera, Molossidae. The transcript has a single exon. The record is from RefSeq and is a predicted model, not a curated record.
AUCCUGUGGCUUCUCUUUGAUCCUGUAAAUCUUUCACCUUUUACUAGAGAUUUCCUUGGAGAGGAACAAUUCUGAGUUUUUACCUAAUUUUUUGAGGCCUUGCACUCAUAGGGCU